GACGUAGGGCGCGAGCGUUGUCCGGAUUUAUUGGGCGUAAAGGGCGCGUAGGCGGUGUGUCAAGUCAGGCGUGAAAGCCCCGGGCUCAACCUGGGAACUGCGCCUGAGACUGGCACGCUCGAGUUCGGGAGAGGAUGGUGGAAUUCCCAGUGUAGAGGUGAAAUUCGUAGAUAUUCGCAAGAACACCAGUGGCGAAGGCGGCUAACUGGUCCGGUUCUGACGCUGAGGCGCGAAAGCGUGGGGAGCAAACAGG
This 253-nucleotide ribosomal RNA is filed under the name uncultured bacterium. Its description in RNAcentral is "partial 16S ribosomal RNA". It matches the Rfam family "Bacterial small subunit ribosomal RNA", at positions 524 to 776 of the family's 1533-position model. The record is from RNAcentral.